This is an RNA transcript of Andrographis paniculata, 4775 nucleotides long. It is a transcript of the gene named nitrate regulatory gene2 protein-like, with no coding region annotated. The record is from RefSeq and is a predicted model, not a curated record. Lineage: Eukaryota; Viridiplantae; Streptophyta; Magnoliopsida; Lamiales; Acanthaceae. The transcript has 5 exons.
GUAAUGAUUCCAAUAGGAGUACUAAUGGCGGGUUCCACGAGUUUCUUCUGUCAUUUCUGACACAUCUCCACCACCAUCACAUACACAAACAUACAGAUUCAGAUAAAAUUAAUACACAUGCAUUGUCAUGCUCACCAUCAAUAUAAACAAUACCCAGAUUUCAUAACCAAACAAGAUCCCAAUUCCCAAUGACAAUUAAUACAUUAUUGUCUCUCUCUUUCUCUUACCUUCUCCUACUUCGCCAAUCCCCAUCCUUGCCCCCUCGCACAUCUCUAUGCAUAUUAUUUUCACUUGUAAUCUUGCUGGAAAACUAUUAUCCCUUAACCAUCUAUCUCCCUAUCUCUUUAUUUUUUUAAUAACUUGUUGGGAGAACUAUUAGUGAGUAUUAUUGGAUGGGAUUUAUUUAAAUCUUUGAUUUCUUUGGUGAAUAAAAUAAUAAUUUUCCGGAUCAAGAGAGAAAACCCGCACCCAAAAUCAGUGAUUUGGACGACCGAGAUUCAAUUCUCCCUUAAACCGUACGUCCAGAACAGAGGGAUAGAACUUUCCCAAACUUUCUUCACAAAAUUCCUAUUCUCUUACCAAAUUACUUAGUCACUCUAACCGCGUUUCACACUUAGGUGCCAGAUCGGAAUCCAAUGUGAAUUGGCCUGCUGCAUCCUGGGGUUGCACACCUUGCUGUGCGACUUGUACAUUACCUUGGAGCUAGGCAGCUCCACACCGCCAUCGAUCUCCCACUCCAAAUUCUCAUAUUUACCACAUCUUGGCUCCGAAAGAAAUUUUCCCUGUUGCGGAAAAUCCCUUCUUCCUGGAGUUUCGUGAAUCUAUUCUUUAGCGGGUCUCUUCGUAUCGCAAUGCGAUUAAGCGGAUUUUGUUCCAGAUUUUGGCGGGGGAAGCGCUUUAAUACUGCGGCACUGUGAUAUGGGGUGUAGCGGGUCGAAGGCGGAUGACUUACCUUUGGUGGUUCGGUGCCGUGAGAGGCGGGAGCUCAUACGGGCCGCCGCGAAUCACCGCUACGCGCUCGCCGCUGCCCAUGUGGCCUACUUCCGCUCGUUGAAGGACGUCGGCGAUGCGCUGCGGAAAUUCGUGGAUGAAGAGCUCGUCAUGGCGUCUCCUUCUUCCUCUUCCUCCUUUUCGUCUCCGUCUUUGACUUUGCCGCCGAACUCGAAGAAAAAGCACGACAAUGCGGCGGAGGAAUCUUCGCUGCAUUUACACGACGACGAGGACGACGAGGAGUCGCAUUUACACUUGUCGGAUUCAUCUACAGAAGAUGAGGAUUCGGAGGAUUACAAGCAUCUGCAUCAUGACCACCACGACCACCAUGGACAUGAAUCAGAAGAUGAUGCGCACCACCAUCAUAAGCCUCACGCGCAUGUCGACAAAGGGAAAGUAUUUGAUGAUGAAAUAAGGCGUUCAAAUCAUGAUGAGGAGGAAUCUUCGUUUCCCUAUCCUCGGGGUGGUUUUGAAGGUUAUGGAAGUGCAUUUGGGAAUGAUGAGUUUGUCAAUUACCCAUAUGCAAACCCAUAUCCCUACCCCUACUCGUAUCCGGCGCCACCACCAUACGGCGAGCCUUAUAUGGAUCAGUGGGUUCCACCGCCGCAGGUACAACCUUGGUUCCCUUCAAGUAAUUCGAAUAUGUAUUACAUGAAGAAAUCAGCUCCCUCGACCAAAACGGUGGUCCGAGAGCCUCCAGUGUAUGGGUACACUGAUUCAUAUUGGACUUCUCCUCCGAGCUAUGGGAAUGUUGGCUAUGGUGGUAGUCUGGGGUUUUUUUCAGCUGGUUCGCAUAUUGGCACUGGAAAUAAGGAGAGCGCUAAAGAAGAAUCACAAAAGGAGCCACCGCCACCUCCGACACCAAAGGCAUCAGCAUGGGAUUUUUUUAAUCCAUUUGAUGUGGUUGAGAACGGGUACCCUGGUUAUUACUCGACAGGAGGGUAUGGCUAUCCGUCGAAUGCGAGUAGCCCAGAUUCGAAUGAGGUAAGGGAGAGGGAGGGGAUUCCUGAUUUGGAGGAAGAAACUGAAAGUGAGGUGUACAAAGAGGUCCUUAACGGAAGCAGAAUGAAAGGUGAUUCAAAAAAGAGUUCAGUGGAGAGUGCUCCACAUGCAAGAGGAGCACCUGUUCGAAAAAAUAAAAAUGGCAGCACGAGAUCAGUGCCGCAGCAUCAUCGAAGUGAGAAUAGUUCAAGAUCAGUGCCGUUAUACAAAGGGGAGGGAAGUUCAAGAUCCAUGGCAGUGCCUAAAAGUGAGAGUAGUUCCAGAUCGGUGCCUUCAUGGAGCAGUGAGGAGAUUGAAAAACCAUCUAUGCCGCCACAUUACAGUAGGGAGAGUGCAAAGACAUCAAUGUCACCUCAAUAUGGUGAGGAGAACACUAAAACAUCAAACUUUCCACCAGAUAGCAUGCGGGAAUCAUAUGUAGAUCAUUCCCCAAAUGAGGAAAGGUCUAGCAAAUCGAUUAGCUUAGCAGAUGAAAGCAGUCCAGAAAAUAUAGUAUUGAAGAAUGUGGAUGAGGGUUCUGUGAAAAAGAAAGGGGUGACUUUUGAAAUGGAGGGAACAUCAAAACAGGAUGCUGAUUCUUCCAACUUGAGUAGUGUAACCAUAUUGUCUCCUAAUGGCACAAGGGAUCUUCAGGAGGUUGUUGCUGAAAUAAGAGAUGAAUUUGAAACUGCUUCUAGUUAUGGGAAAGAGGUAGCCAUGCUGCUUGAAGUUGGGAAGCUGCCUUAUCAACCUAGCUUUCUUAAAGUUAUUAUCUCACGAAUAUUAUACCUGAUAUCUCCAUCGCUAUCAUUGCUGGAUGAAUCUCCAUCUGUAAAAUCAGCUAAAUUAGCUUCGAACACAAUGAAAAUGGCGAGAUCUUACUUUGACAAUGUUGAGAAGGAUGUCAACUCUAAAGCUUUCAACCUUUCAGCCACACUGGAUAAACUGUAUGCUUGGGAAAAGAAGUUAUACAAGGAAGUAAAGGAUGAAGAAAGACUUCGAGUUAUAUAUGAGAAACAGUGCAGGAGGCUAAGGGUUUUAGAUGAAGAAGGAGCCGAAUCUAGCAAGAUAGAUGCGACUCGGGCUUCCAUCCGUAAAUUACUGACUAAGCUAAAUGUUAGUAUCAAAGCAAUUGAUGGUAUUUCAAGCAGGAUACACAAGUUGCGGGAUGAGGAAUUGCAACCUCAGGUUGCCACAUUGAUUUAUGGGCUUAUUAGAAUGUGGAAGGCAAUGCUGAAGUGCCAUAGGAAGCAGUUUCAAGCUAUUAUGGAGAGUAAAAUGCGUAAGCUCAGAGCUAACACUGGUCUCCAAGGGGACUCCAGCUUGCGGGCCACCACACACCUUGAAAGGGAGCUUCGUGCAUGGUGCGCACGGUUCAAUGAUUGGGUGGCAUUUCAAAAGUCAUAUGUCGAAUCCUUGAAUGGUUGGCUUUUGCAGUGUCUGCAGUAUGAGCCAGAACAGACACCCGAUGGCCCUGUUCCAUACUCCCCCGGCAGGCUAGGAGCUCCUCCAAUCUUUGUAAUCUGCAAUGAUUGGCAGCAAGCUAUGGAAGCCAUAUCUGAGGCGAGGGUGGCAAACACCAUGAAUACCUUUGCAACAAGCUUGCAGCAGUUGUGGGAAAAACAGGACGAGGAGAGGCAUCAACGGCUCAAAGCAGAGUAUCUUUCCAAGGACUUCGACAAGCAGCUGAAAGCACACCGAAUGGAGAAGGGGAAAAUGAAGCUCGACCAAGAUGGGAGAUCAGACAAAACUGGAUUGUCUAUGGUUCCAUCAUCGGAUAGUGGAGUUUCGGCAUUGGAUGAUCUGAAGGUGGACUUAGAUUCUAUGAAACAGAAACUGGCAGAGGAGCGAGUGAAGCACAAGGAUGCCAUGAAGGUAGUCCAUGAUGCUGCUACUAGUAGCUUACAAGGUGGCCUGAUACCCAUUUUCAAGGCUUUGGAGAACUUCACUUCCGAAGCUCUGAAAGCACAUGAGCAUGUUCGACUACAGCCCUCCAACGACAAGAGCUGACCCUGUACAAGUCACUUUGUAGAUCAUCCAACUGUGGCAUUCGGGGAUGAAAGUUUUGUUUUUUUAGCUAAAGCUUCUGGCAACCUGAUUCCUUAGAAGAAGGCUUUAGGUAGUAAGAGCAAAGGCUGACUGAAGCUGGAAGAUGCACAAAAGAUGAUGCAUGUUGCCUGCUGUCCCCAUCCGAUUCCUAGCUGUGAAUAGUGUUUUUGUUCAUUCUACUGUUGGAACUUUCUGACGUGACUUGAUUAUAAGGAAUCAAUGUCCAUCAUCCACAGUCGUACCAAUUAAUAAUGGAUUUCUGGUGAAGAAUGUGAUUUGCAGGAUAUGGUUCUUUUUUAUUCUGGAAAAACAGUACGUACAGGUACAGGUAGCUAAACUAUUAUCUUUCAGUUUUUUUCUGCAAUUAUAACUCUUCUCUUCCCUAUGUUCUAAAUAUGUUCUUUCAUACAGGAGUAACGAAGACAUCAUUGUCGGCAACAAGAACACCCAGUUGCAAUUCAUCAUUCCAGAAAAUGUUCCAGUAAUUUCCAGCCCGGCCACAAGCUCUUGCACGAAUUAAAUUUUCAGCAGGUUGAAAUUUGACUUAAGUAAUAAGCAUGCCUAGCUAGCUAGCACAAAUAUUAUGCAUACAUACAGACUUACAUUCAUGAUACAAUGCACACUAACAGACAAAAUUCAGGUUUUAUUUCUGAGAACAAGGCUAGUUCUUCAAUCUUCUUCCUCAUCAGUGAGAAACUUUCCUGUUCCAGGAUUAAUGGCAGCCACAAAGAAGAAGACUAUGUUGAACAACAAAA